GGAUAUAGCUCAGUUGGUAGAGUGCUUGCCUUGCAUGCAUAAUGCCAUGGGUUCAAUCCCCAGCACCA
This 68-nucleotide transfer RNA is filed under the name Marmota monax (woodchuck). Its description in RNAcentral is "tRNA.Ala". The stretch from base 6 to 63 matches the Rfam family "tRNA", at positions 8 to 63 of the family's 71-position model. From Rfam's summary of the family: Transfer RNA (tRNA) molecules are approximately 80 nucleotides in length. Their secondary structure includes four short double-helical elements and three loops (D, anti-codon, and T loops). Lineage: Eukaryota; Metazoa; Chordata; Mammalia; Rodentia; Sciuridae. The record is from RNAcentral.